UGCACACCAUGGCUUUAAAAAUUUGGAAGCUUUCAAGAGAGACCUCAAGAAUUAAAGAUCGGCAUCCAGCUGGUUAAAAGGGAUGUUUUAUCGCACACUUAUAUGCACAUCUACAUACAAGCAAAUGAAUUUAGGGGCAUUUUUAAGAAUGUCCAAUUUUAAGGAUAUGAGUUGAAAAGUGUCCACUCAUUUGAAUUUAGUGACAACUUGUCUAUUAUACCCUUAAUGAAAAACUACAUUUUGAAAUG
Molecule: long non-coding RNA, 248 nt
Filed under: Olea europaea (common olive)
Lineage: Eukaryota; Viridiplantae; Streptophyta; Magnoliopsida; Lamiales; Oleaceae
Description: long non-coding RNA (OEUR_LNC010725)
Source: RNAcentral